UCGACGGCAGCACGGGAGCAAUCCUGGUGGCGAGUGGCGAACGGGUGAGUAAUAUAUCGGAACGUGCCCAGUCGUGGGGGAUAACGCAGCGAAAGCUGUGCUAAUACCGCAUACGAUCUACGGAUGAAAGCGGGGGAUCGCAAGACCUCGCGCGAUUGGAGCGGCCGAUAUCAGAUUAGCUAGUUGGUGGGGUAAAGGCCCACCAAGGCGACGAUCUGUAGCUGGUCUGAGAGGACGACCAGCCACACUGGAACUGAGACACGGUCCAGACUCCUACGGGAGGCAGCAGUGGGGAAUUUUGGACAAUGGGCGCAAGCCUGAUCCAGCAAUGCCGCGUGCAGGAUGAAGGCCUUCGGGUUGUAAACUGCUUUUGUACGGAACGAAACGGUCUCUUCUAAUAAAGGAGGCUAAUGACGGUACCGUAAGAAUAAGCACCGGCUAACUACGUGCCAGCAGCCGCGGUAAUACGUAGGGUGCGAGCGUUAAUCGGAAUUACUGGGCGUAAAGCGUGCGCAGGCGGUUAUAUAAGACAGAUGUGAAAUCCCCGGGCUCAACCUGGGACCUGCAUUUGUGACUGUAUAGCUAGAGUACGGUAGAGGGGGAUGGAAUUCCGCGUGUAGCAGUGAAAUGCGUAGAUAUGCGGAGGAACACCGAUGGCGAAGGCAAUCCCCUGGACCUGUACUGACGCUCAUGCACGAAAGCGUGGGGAGCAAACAGGAUUAGAUACCCUGGUAGUCCACGCCCUAAACGAUGUCACUGGUUGUNGGGUCUUCNCUGACUCAGUAACGAGCUACGCGUGAAUUGACCGCCUGGGAAUACGNCCCAAGUUGAACUCAAGNAUUGACGGGACCNCNAACCGNNGAUGAUUGGUUAU
Molecule: ribosomal RNA, 874 nt
Filed under: Rhodoferax sp.
Lineage: Bacteria; Pseudomonadati; Pseudomonadota; Betaproteobacteria; Burkholderiales; Comamonadaceae
Description: bacterial SSU rRNA
Rfam family: Bacterial small subunit ribosomal RNA
Source: RNAcentral